This 459-nucleotide ribosomal RNA is filed under the name uncultured bacterium. Its description in RNAcentral is "partial 16S ribosomal RNA". It matches the Rfam family "Bacterial small subunit ribosomal RNA", at positions 338 to 795 of the family's 1533-position model. The record is from RNAcentral.
CCUACGGGAGGCAGCAGUGAGGAAUAUUGGUCAAUGGCCGGAAGGCUGAACCAGCCAAGCCGCUUGCAUUCCUCCUUUUCCCCUCCUUUUCCCCUUCUUUUGUCAAGGGACAAAAUCAGGCUCGAGAGCCUGACCGAGGGUACUUGAAGAAAAAGCAUCGGCUAACUCCGUGCCAGCAGCCGCGGUAAUACGGAGGAUGCGAGCGUUAUCCGGAUUUAUUGGGUUUAAAGGGUGCGUAGGCGGACUGUUAAGUCAGCGGUAAAAGCCCGGGGCGCAACCCCGGCGAGCCGUUGAAACUGGCUGUCUUGAGAUGUCGAGAGGUAUGCGGAAUGCGCAGUGUAGCGGUGAAAUGCUUAGAUAUUGCGCAGAACUCCGAUUGCGAAGGCAGCAUACCGGCGGCGAUCUGACGCUGAGGCACGAAAGCGUGGGUAUCGAACAGGAUUAGAUACCCCGGUAGUC